GACGAACGCUGGCGGCGUGCCUAAUACAUGCAAGUCGAGCGAACAGAUGCGGAGCUUGUUCCUCUGUCGUUAGCCGCGGGCGGGUGAGUCACACGUGUAUACCCUACCUAUCAUUCUGGUAUAACUUCGGGAAACCGGCGCUAAUCCCGUAUAAUCUAUUGCUCCGCAUGGUUCAAUGGUGAAAGUCGGUUUUGCUGUCUGUACUAGCUGCAUCUGCGCCGCUUUAGCUAGUUGGUAAGGUAACGGCUUAUUAAGGCAACGAUGCGUAGACGACGUCAGGGACGGGUAGCCGACCUGGGAGCGUGGACACGGUCCAGACUACUACGGGAGGCCGCAGAAGGGAACCUGCGGCAGUGGGCGAAAGCCUGACGGAGCAGCGGCGCGUGAGUGAUGACGAUCUUCCGAUCGUGAAACUCUCUUAUGAGGGAAGAACAAAUGUGUAAGUAACUAAGCACGUAUUGACGGUACCUAAUAAGAAAGCAACGGCUAACUACGUG
RNAcentral lists this ribosomal RNA (497 nucleotides) under uncultured bacterium. RNAcentral describes it as "partial 16S ribosomal RNA". It matches the Rfam family "Bacterial small subunit ribosomal RNA", at positions 28 to 507 of the family's 1533-position model. The record is from RNAcentral.